Spinacia oleracea (spinach) is the source of this 1333-nucleotide long non-coding RNA. RefSeq lists it as uncharacterized. The transcript has 4 exons. The record is from RefSeq and is a predicted model, not a curated record. Lineage: Eukaryota; Viridiplantae; Streptophyta; Magnoliopsida; Caryophyllales; Amaranthaceae.
CAAAAGAUAUGUGGUUUAGAACACAAAAGUUAAGUUUCUUGAAAUGUUGAGCACUCCAUUGUUGCUUGCUGUGUUGCUGGGUUUAAGGUUCAUGCAGGGUAUACCCCGAUAACAGACCGGGACCCUAGAAUCAGUAAUAUUUUAUAGUCACCGAAACCGGAAUUGAUGAAGAGAUGUUUCCAUUGUUGUUCAAUUCUUUCUUUAGCCCCCAAGACUAACACCAUUUGCAUAUCCAUUAGGAACUGGGAUUGAGAGUGAUUUAGGAAGUAGUCCUCCAGUUGGCUCCUUGCCAAAGUCCUUCCCUCCAUUUCAGCAUCCAAGUCAUCAGUUACUUGAGGAAAAUGGCUUCAAACAGCAGAAGUACCUGAAGUACCAAAAGAAUUGUCUGAAUGACCGAAAGAAGUUAGGAACAGGUUGCAGUGAGGAAAUGAAUACUCUAUAUAGAUUCUGGUCAUAUUUCCUUCGAGAUGUAUUUGUUCCUUCAAUGUACAACGAGUUCCGGAAAGCUGCUAAUUACCAUUAUGGACUGGAAUGUUUGUUCAGGUUCUAUAGCUAUGGAUUGGAGAAGGAAUUAAGAGAUGACCUAUAUGGGGAUUUUGAGCAGCUCUCUCUCACUUUCUACAAGAAAGGCAAUCUUUAUGGCCUGGAAAAAUACUGGUACGUCUGCUAAUUUAAUAUGUUAUGGUUAUUUCGGGAUUUAUACUUAAAUUAUAUAUAGGUUCUGUUUGAUUUGACAAAAAACACUUUUCCCGAAAAUGAUUUUCCCAUUUUCCUUUCUUUCUUUUGUUCAUGGAUGUGGAAAACAACUUACUUAAGGUGGAACACCUAUAUCGACCCAAAUGACCAAUAGGCGUACAUAACGAACUUGAAAUGAGUCUUAUAAAUAUAUAACUAAUCAUAUGAAUCAUGAAAAACGUUUAGAAUGUGGAAAUAGGUUCAUUUGUUGGUGGUUAGGAUCGAAAAUGACAUUUUUGGCAAUAAAUGACCUAUAUCGACCCAAAUGACCCAUAGGCGUGCAUAACGAACUCGAAAUGAGUUUCAUAAACAUAUAACUAAUCAUAUGAAUCAUCAAAAAGGUUUAGAAUGUGGAAAUAGGUUCGUUUGUUAGUAGUUGGGAUCGAAAAUGCCAUUUUUGGCCAUAAAUGGCCUAUAUCGACCCAAAUGACCCAUAGGCGUUCAUAACGAACAUGAAAUGGGUCUUAUAAUCAUAUAAAUAAUCAUAUGAAUCAUGAAAAACGUUUAAAAUAUGGAAAUAGGUUCGUUUGUUGGCAGUUGGGAUCAAAAAUGCCAAUUUUUGGCCAUAAAUGAUCUAUAUCGACCCAAAUGACCCUUA